This 249-nucleotide ribosomal RNA is filed under the name uncultured bacterium. RNAcentral's name for it is "partial 16S ribosomal RNA". It matches the Rfam family "Bacterial small subunit ribosomal RNA", at positions 15 to 263 of the family's 1533-position model. The record is from RNAcentral.
GAUCAUGGCUCAGAUUGAACGCUGGCGGCAGGCCUAACACAUGCAAGUCGAGCGGUAGAGAGAAGCUUGCUUCUCUUGAGAGCGGCGGACGGGUGAGUAAUGCCUAGGAAUCUGACUGGUAGUGGGGGAUAACGUCCGGAAACGGACGCUAAUACCGCAUACGUCCUACGGGAGAAAGCAGGGGACCUCGGCCGUUCGCGCUAUCAGAUGAGCCUACGGUCGGAGUUAGCUAGUUGGUUGGGGUUAAGG